This 1038-nucleotide long non-coding RNA is filed under the name Anser cygnoides (Swan goose). RNAcentral's name for it is "lncRNA (ENSACDG00005014215.1)". Lineage: Eukaryota; Metazoa; Chordata; Aves; Anseriformes; Anatidae. The record is from RNAcentral.
UCUCAGACAAAGACCAACUGGUGGCUUGAGAACAUGGGAUCCUGAAACAGGUAACUGCUUGUCCUUAGCGCUAUUGUCCAAGGCUGGUUUUGAAUAUACUGUAUCCUUUUCCUUACUUUAAUGUGUGUGUUUCAGCUUACCUCACCAGAUGUGAUUUUAAUAACAACUCAAGACCAUUUUGUGACUGGACCCAACCUUGCAAUGUGAACCAGGGUGUGUGGAUACGAACCAAGCAUGACACUCCAACUGAUGGAACAGGUCCUGAUGGAGAUUAUCCUGAUGGAAAAGGCUAUUUCAUCUACCAAGAAGCAAGUAAUCUGAUCCCAUUUGACACUAACAGACUUGAGAGCCCAGAUGUUGUGGUUUCUGGAAAAGUAUGCAUAGACUUCUGGUACUAUAUGUUUGGGUCAGAAGAAAUGAAUGAGUUGAGAGUGAUUAUCCAAGACAGCACAGGGGAGUCUGUGGCAUGGAGUCGGAAGGGAAACCAGAGUUCCUCUUGGAAUUAUGGUGCUGUCAUUCAUACUUUUCCAACACAGAGAAGGAUAAAGGUCAUUUUUGAGGCUGUCCGAGGACUGACAGAGUAUGGGGAUACAGCACUGGACAAUGUGAGAGUAAGGGAUGGAUCCUGUGGUAAGUUUUAUAUUUGUGCCUUAGCAUACACUCCUUCCUCAUCUCUGUUUAAGCUGUUGACCAUUAUUCAAUUCCAUAUACAGUAUCAAAACUCCUUGUAAUUCCAAACCACAAAAGAAAUGGCAAAAGCUUUACAGCUCACUUCAUUUAAAUGUUAUCUGUUUUGGUGUAGAUUCUUCCCAAAUCUUUCCUCACUACCUCAAAUGUAGAGAAUAAGCUAUCCGCUUCUCUGCAAAUGUGAUCAUUUUCACACAGUUCAACAAACUUUAAGUUUGAAGUCCGUCUCUAAACCCACCCAAGGAUAUGAACAUUGGUCAUGAAUUACAGAUUAAAUGAUCUAAUCAACAUUUUACAGCAAACCUCUGUUCAUAUGAGCUCAGUAAAUAAACAGAACUUCCAUAUGUAGCA